UUAACCUUCGGGAGGGCGCUUACCACUUUGUGAUUCAUGACUGGGGUGAAGUCGUAACAAGGUAACCGUAGGGGAACCUGCGGUUGGAUCACCUCCUUACCUGAAAGAA
Molecule: ribosomal RNA, 109 nt
Filed under: Salmonella enterica
Lineage: Bacteria; Pseudomonadati; Pseudomonadota; Gammaproteobacteria; Enterobacterales; Enterobacteriaceae
Also listed under: 1 other name
Description: partial 16S ribosomal RNA
Rfam family: Bacterial small subunit ribosomal RNA
Source: RNAcentral